ACUAAGAUUAAAGCGUGACACAGAAGAAUGGAUAAAAAGAAGAUCCUCAAGAGGAAGCAGCAUCAGCUGCAAGUGGAGGCGGAGCUCCACCGCCUCCCUAACCAGCAACCAAAAUCAAAAUCAGUUCGUGUUUCUUCUAAAUCAGCCACCACCGCCACGAAUCCAUACUCUUCUCACAGUGGCCCCACUCCACAAGAAUGCCUCUCCCUACGAGACACCCUCUUAGCCCUCCACGGUUUCCCUCCCGAAUUCGCCAAGUACCGCAAGCGACAACACGUUGACGACAACCACCACCACGCCGCCACCAUCCCGCCGGAAACCGUGCUCGACGGUUUGGUCCGAACAGUGCUCUCUCAGAACACCACCGAGUCCAAUUCCCAAAAGGCGUUCGAUUCCCUCAAAUCAUCCUUCCCCACCUGGGAACAUGUGCUUGGUGCGGAUUCGAAGGAGUUGGAGAAUGCGAUUCGAUGCGGGGGUUUGGCACCCACAAAGGCUUCGUGUAUUAAGAACAUGUUGCGUUGCUUGCUGGAGAAGAGAGGCAAGUUGUGCUUGGAGUAUUUGCGAGACUUGUCCAUUGAUGAAGUUAAGGCUGAGCUCUCUCUUUUCAAGGGAAUUGGUCCCAAAACUGUGGCUUGUGUGUUGAUGUUCAAUCUUCAGCUAGAUGAUUUUCCCGUUGACACUCACAUUUUUGAGAUAGCAAAAACAAUUGGUUGGGUGCCAGCUGCUGCUGACAGAAACAAGACAUAUCUUCAUCUAAACGAAAGGAUCCCAAAUGAACUUAAAUUUGACCUGAAUUGUCUCAUGUAUACACAUGGGAAGCUUUGCCGUAAAUGCACAAGUAAAAAGGGUAACAAGCAAAGAGAGAAAUGUGAUGAUAAUAACUCCUGUCCUUUAUUGAAUUAUUGUAAAGAACCAGUUUGAACUUUGAUGCUCAGAACUUGUAUUGUAUAGAGCUAACUAGUGGUAAUAACGUAGGCUGGAGACUAUUUUGAAGUGUUAGUUGAAUUGAAAGAGAAGCUCACAAUUAUGUGAUUGAUACGGUGAUGACGUGCCAAGCUGGGAAUGACAGAGACAUCAACAAGCUGAACGAGAUGUCGCAUUACGUUGGGGCGGCCGACUUCGAGAGGUCUCGCCUUCUACUGUCUCACGCGAGUGAGCCAUACCCUUCCUCCAUCCGAUGCCAUCGUCCCGUAUUUGGCUGAGGCCAGAUUUGGCGACACGGUGCCACUCAGGGACUUCACUUUUGACAAUUUCCUGAUUUCGGCACUCGUGGAGUUACGGCGUUCGGAGACGCACACGUUUCAUCUCCCGUGGGGUUAGGUCACUAUCACCCUACAGGACGUGGCGUACCACCUAGACCUACGCGCACAUGGUAACCGCUUUGGAGGGUGCCUUCGUGACUUCGAUAGGUCGUACGGCACGGAGACAUGGGCUAUGGUGGAGCAGUUGCUUGGUGCUAGGCCUCCGGUGGCGGCACAGCAGGCUGCGCAGAGGAAGGAGUCUUUCACACUGAAGCUCGUGUGGCUGCGGGAUCAUGUCCACCAGAUGCCCCGAACAGACGACCCGAAGACCCUCCGACAGUACGCUAGGUGCUAUAUUAUGUUACUUAUCGGAGGGUAUUUGAUGAUAGACAAGUCCAACAACCUAGUGCACAUACGUUGGCUACCACUUCUCCGGGACUUCGGGGAGUGUAGGGCACUUUCCUGGUGAUCGGCUGUGCUGGCCUAGACGUACCAGUCACUUUGUUCGGCGGCACAACGAGGCAUCACGGACAUCGCCGGUUGCACUCCGCUGUUGAAGAGUUGAAUUUAUCAGAGAUUUUCUCAGUGGUGUCCACCAGAUAGAGGAAUCUACCAGUAUCCGCUGGCUGCAAGGUUGGUUGGAUUGCAGUAGUAGAGUACGGAUCAGCAUCAGGCCAGGGUCCUGCAUUGGAGAGUUUCGAUCGAUUGGUUACGAUUCGACGAGUUUGCAUGGAGAGUCUACGAUGACCCUGCGAUGCAGGCUUUGUGCCCGCCAUGGUUCCGUGACGAGGAGGAGUGGGGGACGUGGUUGUCAGCCGUCCCGCUAGUGUGCUCAAUAUUGUACGGUUUCACCACGUUGAUCGGGAAAACGGAAGUUCAAUGGGGAGCAGCAAGUGCAAGGCACUCCGAUGAAUCUUGACAGUGCCGGAAUUGGGUGAGGUGGAGGUAGGACAUGGCGCGCCACAGUCUGGACAGGUGUCUUCGGAACACAUUCAUCCUCAUUCCCACCAUCGGACGAGUCGCUGUCUGCACUGUCCGCCACGUAAUCAUCGUCCGACUCCUCCUUGUCCUCCUCUGCCUCAUCCAUUGGAAUGGCGACAUGAAUAGGCGGUGGUGCGAGAGGUCGGUCGUCCUGUACAUAGGUCGAGUGUACGGAACUCCCACCACCACUAUGUCCUACCCCAGCGGAAAGCUCCAUUACCUGCUCCACAAUGAUUCUCCCAUGAAUGUCGAACAUCAGUGGCACAUGCUCGUCCCUUUGAAGUCGGAAUAGUCGAAAUCGGAAGACUCCGUUAUCCAUGGGUGCCAGCAACCUAUACGCCACCCUUCCGAUCUCCCUCACUUCUGUACCCCGAGCUUGCUCAAUGUCAAACUUUUCAAAUCCAACAACGUAUUCACACACUGAGUGCAAAACAAUAUCGGAUCCUCACAAUCAAAUGUCACCCCGUUGUCGCCAUUUCUUAUAUGACAAUUGGGAUAAACAAGCACAACUAUGUAUGGACUAUUACUGGCCAUUGAUUCCUUGUUUUCGUGAGAAAUACGAGACAGAAAAGGGAUAGAAAAAAUUUAUGAAGAAUACUAAAGAUUACACAUCCUUUUAUAGCUGCUACCGUUGUCUAUGUAUCUCGUUUACAUGAUAAACGAGAUAAGAUUGGAGAAUUUAAAUUAAUAAAUAUUUUUUAAAUUAUUUAUUUUGGUAAUCAUUAUAUUUAUUUUAUUUAUUAAAAUAAAAAAUCCUUUUAAUGUUCGGUGUCUUGUAAACACGCACGCAGAGCGAACUACUUAAUA
RNA transcript from Arachis stenosperma, 3029 nucleotides. It is a transcript of the gene named putative DNA glycosylase At3g47830, with no coding region annotated. The transcript has 9 exons. NCBI's taxonomy places the organism in Eukaryota, Viridiplantae, Streptophyta, Magnoliopsida, Fabales, Fabaceae. The record is from RefSeq and is a predicted model, not a curated record.